AAACCCACAUAGACAUUGGCCCUAUUUAUUGUGGGUGACCACCAAAGAGUAAAUCUUCGAUUGGGAAUUUGAUUUAGACCAGAUCUUUGAGCAUUGGUAAGCUUCUUGUACUUCAUUGAUUCUUCAAAACCAGAUGCCUUCUCCCAAAAGAGACCUUCCCACGUUGGGAAAUAUGUUCCUUUGAACAAAGUAUGCUCAAGAAUUCCCUCAACACCACCAAGAGCUUGGAUAACAUCAGUUCGGUAAUUGUUCAAGUUCCACAGUUUCCCAUCAUGCCUCUGGUGAGUCCACCAGAAAGGAUUUUGCUUUAGAACUUGGUAUUGCUUGAAAUCUGUACGCACUCUCCAUCCUUUGUCAUAUGCAAGAGUAUGACGGUCCUUCUGAAAUAAAGUAUUAAUUCGUGGAAUUCCCCUGUCCCAAGAAUCUUCCAAAUCUUCUAGGGUUAAACGCCUAUUUUGUGCUUGUGCUUCCUGCCUCUUAAGGGCAUACUCUGCCCAUACACGCUGUGAAUCUAUGAACUCGCUCUCCCAUGGCUGAAUGUAGCGAUAAAG
RNAcentral lists this unclassified non-coding RNA (551 nucleotides) under Hevea brasiliensis (rubber tree). Lineage: Eukaryota; Viridiplantae; Streptophyta; Magnoliopsida; Malpighiales; Euphorbiaceae. The record is from RNAcentral.